This 208-nucleotide long non-coding RNA is filed under the name Elaeis guineensis (African oil palm). RNAcentral's name for it is "long non-coding RNA (EGUI_LNC044722)". The record is from RNAcentral. Lineage: Eukaryota; Viridiplantae; Streptophyta; Magnoliopsida; Arecales; Arecaceae.
CUUUAGUUUUUAGAAGGUUCAGAAUCAGUUUUGAGGGGGAGGCAGUUGCUACACUAUCCCAUUCCGACACCAUCAAUCGCCACACACUGCAUCGCAUGGAUUUCUCUAAGACUGAUGGUGGUUGGACAAAAGGUGUUGAGGAGAGAGCGGAGGAUAGACCAGAGGAGGAGGGACCAUCUUCACCUCUUCGUGAUCACAGAGCAUCCCC